Molecule: ribosomal RNA, 465 nt
Filed under: Vreelandella stevensii
Lineage: Bacteria; Pseudomonadati; Pseudomonadota; Gammaproteobacteria; Oceanospirillales; Halomonadaceae
Description: partial 16S ribosomal RNA
Rfam family: Bacterial small subunit ribosomal RNA
Source: RNAcentral
CCUACGGGAGGCUGCAGUGGGGAAUAUUGGACAAUGGGCGAAAGCCUGAUCCAGCCAUGCCGCGUGUGUGAAGAAGGCCUUCGGGUUGUAAAGCACUUUCAGUGGGGAAGAAAGCCUUGGGGCUAAUACCCUCGAGGAAGGACAUCACCCACAGAAGAAGCACCGGCUAACUCCGUGCCAGCAGCCGCGGUAAUACAGAGGGUGCGAGCGUUAAUCGGAAUUACUGGGCGUAAAGCGCGCGUAGGCGGUCUGAUAAGCCGGUUGUGAAAGCCCCGGGCUCAACCUGGGAACGGCAUCCGGAACUGUCAGGCUAGAGUGCAGGAGAGGAAGGUAGAAUUCCCGGUGUAGCGGUGAAAUGCGUAGAGAUCGGGAGGAAUACCAGUGGCGAAGGCGGUCUUCUGGACUGACACUGACGCUGAGGUGCGAAAGCGUGGGUAGCAAACAGGAUUAGAUACCCCGGUAGUC